This 110-nucleotide ribosomal RNA is filed under the name Microcebus murinus (gray mouse lemur). The record is from RNAcentral. Lineage: Eukaryota; Metazoa; Chordata; Mammalia; Primates; Cheirogaleidae.
GUCUGUGGCCAUACCACCCUGAAUGCGCCUGAUUUCAUCUGAUCUCAGAAGCCAAGCAGGGCUGGGCCUGGUUAGUACUCGGAUGGGAGGAACAUGAGUGGCACCACACU